RNAcentral lists this ribosomal RNA (559 nucleotides) under uncultured bacterium. RNAcentral's name for it is "bacterial SSU rRNA". It matches the Rfam family "Bacterial small subunit ribosomal RNA", at positions 120 to 674 of the family's 1533-position model. The record is from RNAcentral.
GGGAAACUGCCCGAUGGAGGGGGAUAACUACUGGAAACGGUAGCUAAUACCGCAUAACGUCGCAAGACCAAAGUGGGGGACCUUCGGGCCUCACACCAUCGGAUGUGCCCAGAUGGGAUUAGCUAGUAGGUGGGGUAAUGGCUCACCUAGGCGACGAUCCCUAGCUGGUCUGAGAGGAUGACCAGCCACACUGGAACUGAGACACGGUCCAGACUCCUACGGGAGGCAGCAGUGGGGAAUAUUGCACAAUGGGCGCAAGCCUGAUGCAGCCAUGCCGCGUGUAUGAAGAAGGCCUUCGGGUUGUAAAGUACUUUCGGCGGGGAGGAAGGCGGUGAAGUUAAUAGCUUCACCGAUUGACGUUACCCGCAGAAGAAGCACCGGCUAACUCCGUGCCAGCAGCCGCGGUAAUACGGAGGGUGCAAGCGUUAAUCGGAAUUACUGGGCGUAAAGCGCACGCAGGCGGUCUGUCAAGUCGGAUGUGAAAUCCCCGGGCUUAACCUGGGAACUGCAUUCGAAACUGGCAGGCUGGAGUCUUGUAGAGGGGGGUAGAAUUCCAGGU